UUGAUCCUUACAAGAUAGCUGUUCCAUGUUGGAUUCCUAUUCCAAAAUUCCAGUUAAAGACUAAAGUGCUUUCCACCACCAAUAAUUCUAGAGGAGACUUGCAUUCCAAAAAGGGCAGGCAAGGAGCAGAAGCAACAAUAACAACAACAAAGAUUUGAUGCCUAAGCAGAUAUAAUUUAAAGGCAGUGAGAAA
This is a long non-coding RNA of Tyto alba (common barn owl), 193 nucleotides long. RefSeq lists it as uncharacterized. The transcript is spliced from 3 exons. The record is from RefSeq and is a predicted model, not a curated record. Lineage: Eukaryota; Metazoa; Chordata; Aves; Strigiformes; Tytonidae.